ACGGCCCCAUAAAUGUAGCAUGAGUGCGAGCUUGAAAUUUGUAACAUGAGAUGAAAACUGGAGAAGCAUCCCUAAAAUAUAUGAACCAAUCUGCCUAGAAAUAGCUAGGAAUCUGCCACCAGAAAGAUGAAUAAAAUAAAAGAUUGAAGAAGUAGCAAGUAGCAGUAUGGAAGACUUGUGGCUAAGAAGACACUUCGCACUGUUAUGCACCAGGAGGAUUGACUGUCUCUGUGGCUUGGAGGCAGUUAUACGUAGCAGCAGCAGCAGCAGCAGCAGCAAAAGUUAACAGGAGCCGGAGUCUGUCUUCAAAGAGCAGUCAGUAGAGAUGAAGAGUAGAUUACUGAUUCCAUAGUACAUGUCAGAUACUGCCUAGGGACUUCCUAAGUAGAGGUCAAGGUCCCACUGUUAUACAGUGUAUAAAUUCACAGAAGUCAGAAGCUGAAUGCAGUCACAAAGAGAGCAAAGCACUUUGUAAAGUGAACUCAAUACCCCCGUUGGGGCUCAGAAAACAGUACCCCAAAGUGAAGUCCUCAGAAGCAGCCCCAAAAGAACCCCGCCUUUUUGUGUAACAGUUGGCCAUAAAGAAAUUAAGACCUUCAUUCCAGAGAGUCCUAUUGCAUGCCUGAGAGGGAGGAAGGCUGCACAGAGACGCCAAGAAGCUGGACAGUCCUUGCUGGGUUUCCCCACUCAGUCUUUAAGCAUUCGAUCAUACCCCUUCUGUCCAGUUGUAUUUUACAUGGCUGUCCAUACAUCAUUGAAUGUCAGUGUAAAAAUGGAUUGUUUUCCCUGUAUCUUUGGGUCUUUAUUCUGAAGUCUCUUUUAAAACUAUGAUCAAAUAAAUUUGUAUGCCUUUUCUCCUAUUAA
This 864-nucleotide long non-coding RNA is filed under the name Homo sapiens (human). Its description in RNAcentral is "novel transcript". Lineage: Eukaryota; Metazoa; Chordata; Mammalia; Primates; Hominidae. The record is from RNAcentral.